UGGGGAAUAUUGCACAAUGGGCGAAAGCCUGAUGCAGCGACGCCGCGUGAGGGAUGACGGCCUUCGGGUUGUAAACCUCUUUCAGUAGGGACGAAGCGCAAGUGACGGUACCUGAAGAAGAAGCACCGGCUAACUACGUGCCAGCAGCCGCGGUAAUACGUAGGGUGCGAGCGUUGUCCGGAAUUACUGGGCGUAAAGAGCUCGUAGGCGGUUUGUCACGUCGUCUGUGAAAUCCUAGGGCUUAACCCUGGACGUGCAGGCGAUACGGGCUGACUUGAGUACUACAGGGGAGACUGGAAUUUCUGGUGUAGCGGUGGAAUGCACAGAUAUCAGGAAGAACACCGAUGGCGAAGGCAGGUCUCUGGGUAGUAACUGACGCUGAGGAGCGAAAGCAUGGGUAGCGAACAGG
RNAcentral lists this ribosomal RNA (409 nucleotides) under bacterium. RNAcentral's name for it is "partial 16S ribosomal RNA". It matches the Rfam family "Bacterial small subunit ribosomal RNA", at positions 355 to 776 of the family's 1533-position model. The record is from RNAcentral.